AUGGAAAAUCAGACUGAAGGCCAAGAAGAUAAAAGAAAACACUUAUUUAGAUUUAAAGAAGCGUGGUCGAGGGAGUCCAGAUGUGAAGGCCUGGUCUUGAGAAGUUGGAGAAUGAGUGGACUAGCUGGGUAUAACAAAUUAAAGGUUGUGUCAGGAAUUGGAGAGCACUUUAAAGAGUUCAGAUGUGGCUCUAUCUGCAAGGAGAUAAUUCACAUUGAGGAACAACUGAAUAAGGACGAGAUGUGGGACCCAAGCGAGGAGAGUGUUAGUAAAUACAAAGCUCUGGAGGAACAAAGGAGUAAUCUGCUGAGGACGGAAGAAAUUAUGUGGAGGCUAAGAAGUAGGACGUUGUGGCUUGGGGAAGGAGACAAUAAUACUAAAUUUUUCCACGGAUAA
RNAcentral lists this long non-coding RNA (396 nucleotides) under Vicia faba (fava bean). The record is from RNAcentral. Lineage: Eukaryota; Viridiplantae; Streptophyta; Magnoliopsida; Fabales; Fabaceae.